UAAUACGUAGGGUCCAAGCGUUGUCCGGAAUUAUUGGGCGUAAAGAGCUCGUAGGCGGCGUGUCGCGUCGGAUGUGAAAGCCCGGGGCUUAACUCCGGGUCUGCAUUCGGUACGGGCAUGCUGGAGUUCGGUAGGGGAGACUGGAAUUCCUGGUGUAGCGGUGAAAUGCGCAGAUAUCAGGAGGAACACCGGUGGCGAAGGCGGGUCUCUGGGCCGAUACUGACGCUGAGGAGCGAAAGCGUGGGGAGCGAACAGGAUUAGAUACCCUGGUAGUCCACGCUGUAAACGGUGGGAACUAGGUGUGGGGAGCAUUCCACGUUCUCUGCGCCGCAGCUAACGCAUUAAGUUCCCCGCCUGGGGAGUACGGCCGCAAGGCUA
RNAcentral lists this ribosomal RNA (378 nucleotides) under uncultured bacterium. RNAcentral's name for it is "bacterial SSU rRNA". It matches the Rfam family "Bacterial small subunit ribosomal RNA", at positions 521 to 896 of the family's 1533-position model. The record is from RNAcentral.